This 358-nucleotide unclassified non-coding RNA is filed under the name soil metagenome. RNAcentral describes it as "partial contains 5.8S ribosomal RNA, internal transcribed spacer 2, and large subunit ribosomal RNA". The stretch from base 1 to 120 matches the Rfam family "5.8S ribosomal RNA", at positions 35 to 154 of the family's 154-position model. The record is from RNAcentral.
GAUGAAGGACGCAGUGAAAUGCGAUAAGUAAUGUGAAUUGCAGAAUUCAGUGAAUCAUCGAAUCUUUGAACGCACAUUGCGCCCGUCAGUAUUCUGGCGGGCAUGCCUGUUCGAGCGUCAUUACGCCCCUCAAGUCCCCUGUGGACUUGGUGUUGGGGAUCGGCGAGGCUGGUUUUCCAGCACAGCCGUCCCUUAAAUUAAUUGGCGGUCUCGCCGUGGCCCUCCUCUGCGCAGUAGUAAAACACUCGCAACAGGAGCCCGGCGCGGUCCACUGCCGUAAAACCCCCCAACUUUUUAUAGUUGACCUCGAAUCAGGUAGGACUACCCGCUGAACUUAAGCAUAUCAAUAAGCGGAGGA